This 448-nucleotide ribosomal RNA is filed under the name uncultured bacterium. RNAcentral describes it as "bacterial SSU rRNA". It matches the Rfam family "Bacterial small subunit ribosomal RNA", at positions 330 to 793 of the family's 1533-position model. The record is from RNAcentral.
CCCAGACUCCUACGGGAGGCAGCAGUGGGGAAUAUUGGGCAAUGGGCGCAAGCCUGACCCAGCAACGCCGCGUGAAGGAAGAAGGCUUUCGGGUUGUAAACUUCUUUUAAGAGGGAAGAGCAGAAGACGGUACCUCUUGAAUAAGCCACGGCUAACUACGUGCCAGCAGCCGCGGUAAUACGUAGGUGGCAAGCGUUGUCCGGAUUUACUGGGUGUAAAGGGCGUGCAGCCGGGAGUGCAAGUCAGAUGUGAAAUCCCGCGGCUCAACCGCGGAACUGCAUUUGAAACUGUGCUUCUUGAGUGCUGGAGAGGCAGACGGAAUUCCUAGUGUAGCGGUGAAAUGCGUAGAUAUUAGGAGGAACACCAGUGGCGAAGGCGGUCAACUGGACAGCAACUGACGCUGAGGCGCGAAAGCGUGGGGAGCAAACAGGAUUAGAUACCCGAGUAC